This 253-nucleotide ribosomal RNA is filed under the name uncultured bacterium. RNAcentral describes it as "partial 16S ribosomal RNA". It matches the Rfam family "Bacterial small subunit ribosomal RNA", at positions 524 to 776 of the family's 1533-position model. The record is from RNAcentral.
UACGAAGGGGGCGAGCGUUGUUCGGAAUUACUGGGCGUAAAGGGCGCGUAGGCGGCCCCUUUUGUCGCGUGUGAAAGCCCCGGGCUCAACCUGGGAGGUGCGCGCGAAACGGGGGGGCUUGAGUUCGGGAGAGGAGAGUGGAAUUCCCAGUGUAGAGGUGAAAUUCGUAGAUAUUGGGAAGAACACCGGUGGCGAAGGCGGCUCUCUGGACCGAGACUGACGCUAAGGCGCGAAAGCGUGGGGAGCAAACAGG